Molecule: ribosomal RNA, 469 nt
Filed under: uncultured bacterium
Lineage: Bacteria
Description: bacterial SSU rRNA
Rfam family: Bacterial small subunit ribosomal RNA
Source: RNAcentral
GACGAACGCUGGCGGCGUGCCUAACACAUGCAAGUCGAGCGGAGAUAGACUGAUGGUAACUGAAGCUUAUCUUAGCGGCGGACGGGUGAGUAACACGUGGGCAACCUGCCUUGGAGUGGGGGAUAACACCGGGAAAUCGGUGCUAAUACCGCAUAACAUACACAAACUGCAUGGUAAGUGUAUCAAAGGAGUAAUCCGCUUUAAGAUGGGCCCGCGGCUGAUUAGCUAGUUGGUAAGGUAACGGCUUACCAAGGCGACGAUCAGUAGCCGACCUGAGAGGGUGACCGGCCACACUGGAACUGAGACACGGUCCAGACUCCUACGGGAGGCAGCAGUGGGGAAUAUUGCGCAAUGGGGGAACCCUGACGCAGCAACGCCGCGUGAGGAAGAAGGUCUUCGGAUUGUAAACUCCUGUCUUCUGGGACGAAGUAUGACGGUACCAGAGGAGGAAGCCACGGCUAACUACGUG